Molecule: long non-coding RNA, 5614 nt
Organism: Ictalurus punctatus (channel catfish)
Lineage: Eukaryota; Metazoa; Chordata; Actinopteri; Siluriformes; Ictaluridae
Exons: 5
Source: RefSeq, a predicted model, not a curated record
GCCCUUAAUUAAGGGUAUUGUCCAUGCAGUGUGCACAGAUGUCCUUCUCAUCUAGGGAUAAAAUGUUCCGCUGGCCCUUUAAGAAGCAGGAACGUGAGUUCCCGUUCUGCCCAGGAGUAUCGCGGGAGUUCACCUGCGAGCAGCGCGAUUUACAACGCGAUGCAGGUGCUUCUUAUGAAGUGUGAGAACCGGGAAGUUCUUGUGCAUGAAGCAAGACUUUAAGUUUAAAAUCACAGUGGAGCCACUGAGCAGUGAGACUAAGUAUACUCGUCAGGCUUACAUCUGAAGACCAAACAUCUGUUGUGAAGUUCAUCGCGGAGUGGUUAUGAAGAAGCUCGUGAAUAUGAUCCGUCAUACGGUUGUAUAACUCCGAAAUCAACUCUGAUAGUGUCACCCCUUUGGUGGAACGCACCAUUAGGAGUGACUGAUCUAGAUCAGACUGAGCGACUUUCCAGUAUCGGCAGAAGAUGGUCGGUGAGGAUGCAUCAUCUUCAGUCCUGGAUUUGUUCCCUCGUUUCCUUGCUGUAUCUGGAUUGAUCGACCAGGAUUUCUCCAUGAUGUUUGGUGACGAAGUGUCUCAGAAGUUCCUGGCAAAGUGGUCAACAUUCUUCAAGCCAAAAAUCAUUGCAGACUGCAAGACUCUUAAGAAUAUGGGCUAGCUGCUGUCAGGAACUGAACCUGAAUCUGAGGACUACAAUGUGAUGUGUCCUCAAUCCUUUUGCUGCUGCAUCUGUUCCCUCUAACCUCAAGAGGCCAGAAAAAAAACAUCCAAGAUCAGUUCAGCUCAAGCAACCAGCCAUCUUGUGAGCUAUUUUAAGGAAGGAGCCAGUGUGACUACCUUCAUUGAGAGUGCUGACACAAGACAACCAGUCCUCCUGAUGUUCUUCUUUUGCUCACCGAUGCAGAGAAGUUCUAUGUUAUUAUCGACCAAAAGGCGAUCCCAUGUAAGGCACACUCAUCAGUGGCAGCUUUUGAUGAACUGUUCAAAGUUCACUAUGUGUUCAGUUUCUCAUAUGAUGAAGCUCUUUGUUAUUUCUACACAUUGAUCCAAACCACUAUAACAUCGAUGUCGGAAGUACAAAGUAGAGCCUGCGUGUUAAAGAACUUCGAGCACGAUUGCUGCAGCAAGAUUAACAGCCUUGGAAAUGUUAACAUGUUUUGUAUGUAAAUCACACCUCAGAACUUGUUUGGUUCUUUGUCAACAUUUAAAAUUUCAACAUGGUUUAUAUCCUAGCAAAAGGUUACAUUUAAAAUGUGGAGAGCCAGGUUGCCCGUUAUCAUUUUGUACUUGUAGUGGCUUCCGAAAACACCUCAGCAAGGUAUGUAGUCACACUAUGGAUCAAGAGAUUGAUCCUAAUCAGGAUCUUUCCACUCAGGGAGAAUAUGAAGCGGAAUGUUCAAAUGAUCGCCCAAAUUCUGUUGCCACUUUAGAUACUUCACAAAGUUCUGUUGUUACAAGUCAGCUAUCUUGAAUGUGUGGAUCAAUUGUUGCUCAUUUGCAAGGAUCAGGUCUUUCUGAAAGUGCUGUCCAAACAAUUGUUUGUUCAAUGGAAGAAGUUGUUAAUGAUGUUAAAAUCCAAGCACGAGAUGCAGUUCUUAAAACUGUUACUCCUGAAAGUACAAGCCUGGAAUCUAACCCGGACUUCACAGAGGGUGCUUUUCAGGUAAGUAUUGUGCUGACUCAGCAAUUUGGUUUCAAAAUUGACAAGGAGCAUCCUAAGGCUCUUGUAUAUUUGAGCAACAUGGACUGUGUCUGCUACCCUUUUUUUGGGCAGAAUAAAUAAGGCUUGUGGAGUUCUUUGGGUGAAGGCUCAAUAUUCAAAACCCAGUUGUGCAUUGGCGGAGAAUCGAACCUGGCCUCAUGUGUGGCAGGUCAGAAUUCGACCACUGAACCACCAAUGCUUAUCUUAAAGGAUCAACGACAAUGCAGAGUGUGCUUUUCAUUAAGUAUUGUUCGGAUUAAACAGUUUGGUUUCAAAAUAGAAAAGGAGCACCCUAAGUCUCUUGUAUAUUUCAGCAGCAUUGAUAAGGCUUGUAAAGUUCUUUGGGUGAAGGCUCAAUAUUCAAAACUCUGCUGUGCAUUGGCCUGGAAUCAAACCCAGACUUCAAAGACUUUGCAGAGUGAAUGUUGUGGAUAAAAAAUGUCAUAAAAUAAACAUAAGGGAGAAGAAGGAAAAAAACGGGCACCUAGACACAUAGAAGCGGGAUUAGGCGGACAUUGACAGAUUGGAAUUACGAGCAAUUUAAGAGCAGUAAUAGUCAAAAAAAAAAAAAGUCAAAAAGAAGUGUACGAGCUGAGGAGUGCUAAAAACACACACACACUCGUACAGUCAAGGGCGGGCAAGUAGACACAACAUACAUACACACACACACUCUCUCUCCCUCAUACACACACAUGAAUAACUUUAAUAAUAUCUUAUAGUAAUAGAGAAACUAUUAAAAAAAACAAUAGUAGGAUAUGCAGGACAGUAGAACUGUAAUGAUAUUAAGAAGUUGGAAGUACAGUAAACCGCUUUUCAAGUAGUAUAAAUAUAUAUAAACUAAGAAAUAUAGUGCAAAUAUGAAAAUAAAUUAUAAACGAGAAAUACAGGAAAAAAAGGAAAAUAUAACUUACUCAUGAUUCAGGUGGUGAAGAUUGUCGUCUCGCAAGGAAAGCCGUAAUUUUUAGAGAACCAUGAAGAGAGCCAGUUAUAAGGGUGGGUCAAACUGCCCCCCCCCCCCCCCCCCCCCCGAGAUAACGAUAAGACCAAGGUCCCUCCCGGUUGUUUAGUCGUCUUGUCUACGUCAUUUUUUUUACCUAGGGAAUUGAGAAUCCUGAUUUCUGACUACCUAGGUAAAUGAGAAUCCUGGUUUUUAACCCCCUAGGUAAAUGAGAAUCCUGGUUUUUGAUGACCUAGGUAACUAGAAACUCUGGGUUUUUGUUUUCUGGGUUGUUGGAAAUGCCUGGGUUCUGAUUUUAUGUGUAAAUUAAAACCCCUGGUUUCAAUUCUAUGGGUAAGUGAAAUAGGCCUUUUCUGGAAACCUAUGGGUUAUCUAGUGUGUAAAUACAGUAUAAAUACUGGAGCUUAAGCUCAGGGUAGGAAGAUCACUUCUGAGAAUUCUCAUCGGUGUGGACCUCGUGUGGUGGAAUGAAACAAUAAAGCUGGACCCUUGCUUCUUCUCACUCACGGCUGGUGUAUUUUUUCUAUCUCCAAUUGGUCUCAGAGGUAGAUGUGAGUAUUGGCUUCUAAGUUGAAUUUUAAAUGUUUUUGGGUAAUAGGCUAAAUUCGAGCCAACAUGAGCUUUUCAGGUAAGUAUUGUGCUGAUUCAGCAAUUUGGUUUCAGAUUUUAAAAGGAGAAUCCUAAGUCUUCCUUAUUUCAGCAGCAGUCACACACUAUAUUUCCAGAUACUGUAUAAUAUUAUAAUAUCUCCUCUCUGCUCAACACGCAUGUAAUACAGUCUACAUACCGUAAAGCAGUGUUUUUCAACGACUGUGCCAUGGCACACUAGUGUGUCGUGAGAGAUCAUCAGGCGUGCCGUGAGAAAUUGUCCAAUUUCACGUAGUCUUAAAAUUCUUUUUUAUUAAAAUUUAUUAAUUAUUACCUGCAAAUAAUAAGUCAUGGUUGAGUGUCUGUGCUGUAAUAUAGUGACUGGCAGAGUAAUGUAAUAAUCGUCUAGGUGGCAGUAGGUAAUUGCCUCCUACCUUCUUAGAGACAAGAGAAUUAGUGACGCAUGCGACAGGUCGUGGUGUCAGUGAUGGAGAAGUUUUUAAAAAGGAAAAAUGCAAACUCCAAACUGGGCCCUGGACAAGAUUGUGACCCAGGUGAAGGGCCUAGUAUGAGUGGUGGUAAAAAGAAAGAAAAGACGGUGAGCUCGAGGCAAUACAGCGAAAGUUAUCUUUCAUUAGGAUUUACUUUCACCAGCUAUGAGAUGACCCCAACUCCAUUAUGCUUGGUGUGUGGCGAGAAGCUGUCCAAUAGCGCCAUGGUGCCAAGCAAGCUUAAACGCUAUCUCCAAGCGAAACACCCGUCGCUUCAAAACAAGCCGAUGGACUAUUUUGUUUGCCUGCAUGAACACACCGAAACAGGCAACAUUUAAUGAGAAAAACCACAAAGGUAAAUUAGAAAGCCCUCAAAGCUAGUUGCUGAACUUGUAGCUAAAUGAAAAAAGUCCCACACUGUGGCAGAGACGUUAAUACUACCUGCCUGCAAAGACACUGUCAACGAGAUGCUCGGCCCUGACGCGGUUAAAGACAUAUCUAAACUCCCGCUCUCAGAUAACACAAUCGCCAGACGUAUUGAUGACAUGUCUACAGACAUCGAAAGCCAUGUUUUGGAAAAGAUACGCAUCAGUAGGAGAUUUGCAUUGCAACUUGAGUCUAUGGAUAUUCUCAGCUCUUGGCCAAUGUGCGUUUUGUGGAUGGAGAUGCCAUUAGAGAAAACUUCCUAUUUUGUAAGGCACUGCCAGAAAAAACAACAGCAGAGGAAAUUUUUUGGGUCACAUCAGAAUAUCUUGACCAGGGAGGACUUACAUGGGAAAAUUGCACAAGUGUUUGUACUGAUGGAGCUGCAGCCAUGGUCGGGCACACCUAAGGCUUCGUUAGCAGAGUGAAGGAAAGAAACCCAGAUCUUAUUGUUACACACUGUUUUCUGCACCGUGACCCCUUCGUUGCAAAGACUUUACCAGCAGAACUAGUUCCUGUGUUGGAUGAUGUGCGCAUAGGGAACUUUGUAAAGACACAACCUUUGAAAAGUCGUAUAUAUUUGCAUCUUUGUGUGAGGAAAUGUGAGCGGAGCAUAAAGCCUUAUUGCUCCAUACGGAGGUCCGAUGGUUGUAGCGUGACAAGUUGCUGGCCCGUGUGUAUGAGCUGCGGGAGGAACUUAAAGUGUUUCUGACAAAUGAGAGGUCUGAUUACUCAAAUCUGUUUGCAAGUGAUGAGUGGUGUGCUGUUGUGGAUAAAAAUGACAUUAAAUAAACAUGAGGGAGACUUAGUAUGAGUAAAAAUGUAAUUUUAUUGGUAAUUCACAGGACGGGUGGGUGCGUAGUCUGGAGGAGAGCGAGAGGGGGAAGAAAAUGGGGUGCGUCCUGGGGACAUGGGGAAAUCAGCGAGGGUGAAGUGAACGGACCACUGAGUCCAGUAACGGAGAGAGAAGGGACUGACGACGGGCACCGGCACCUAGACAUGCAGAAGCAGUUUUAGUCAGAGGUGGAUAAAUUGGAAAAACACUUUAAAGAUCUUUAUGGGUUGUUAGUCAAAAAGUCAAAAGAAGUGUACGAGCUGAGGAGUGCUAAAAAACACACACACACACCCUCGUACAGUCAAGGGCGGGCAAGUAGACAUAAUACACACACACACAAUCUCUCUCACACAUACUAUUAUAACUUUAUAAGAAUAAUAAAAAGGAAUAUUAAGAUAUUAUAAGGGUAAUGUCUUAUAAUAAAGUGUAUAUAUAUACUUUUUAUAAAAAUGCUAUUAAGAAGUAGGAAGUACAGUAAACCGGUUUUUCAAGCAGCAUAUAUAAUAAGAGAUAUAGAGUAAAUCUGAAAAUAAAAACUAGAAAUACAGGAAAAUAUAACUUAAUCAUGAUUCAGAUGGUGAAGAUUCUCGUCUCGCAAGGAAGGCCUUAAUUUUAA